GAUGAACGCUAGCGACAGGCUUAACACAUGCAAGUCGAGGGGCAUCGGGACGUAGCAAUACGUUGCCGGCGACCGGCGGAUGGGUGAGUAACGCGUAUGCAACCUGCCCACGACAGGGGGACAGCCCGUUGAAAGACGGAUUAAUACCCCAUAAAACAGGGGUUCCGCAUGGGACUAUUUGUUAAAGGGUUUUCCGCGAGGGGGAUCCGGUUGUGGAUGGGCAUGCGUUCCAUUAGGCAGUUGGUGAGGUAACGGCUCACCAAACCGACGAUGGAUAGGGGAACCGGGAGGUUGGUCCCCCACACUGGUACUGAGAUACGGACCAGACUCCUACGGGAGGCAACAGUGAGGAAUUUUGGUCAAUGGACGGAAGUCUGAACCAGCCAAGUCGCGUGAAGGAAGGCGGCCCUAAGGGUUGUAAACUUCUUUUGUAAGGGAUAAAGGCCGGUACGUGUUACCGGUUUGCAGGUACCUUACGAAUAAGGAUCGGCUAACUCCGUG
RNAcentral lists this ribosomal RNA (501 nucleotides) under uncultured bacterium. RNAcentral describes it as "bacterial SSU rRNA". It matches the Rfam family "Bacterial small subunit ribosomal RNA", at positions 28 to 507 of the family's 1533-position model. The record is from RNAcentral.